UUGGAGGUGCUGGCUGAUAGGGUAGGAUCUACCCACAGCAUAGGCAGCAGUAACGCAACCUCUCUAACACUGUCCUACCAACAUCCUGCCCUGGAGGGCCCACUUCCCAGGCUCAGAGGAUAAUUCAGUCUCCAUGGCCCAGACUGUCCUUGGACUCU
This 158-nucleotide small RNA is filed under the name Chelonoidis abingdonii (Abingdon island giant tortoise). RNAcentral describes it as "TUC338 (ENSCABG00000002030.1)". Lineage: Eukaryota; Metazoa; Chordata; Testudines; Testudinidae. The record is from RNAcentral.